CGACAAUGCUGUAAGGGCCAUGGCUUGUGCCGGUUGCGCUGCUGGUGGUUUCCUUGGGGAAGAAGAAACAUUUGAGGAGAUAUUAGAACUUACCGGAGAUGAAUUACAAGCUAAAGUAGCGCCUCUCAUAGUAAAAACUACGGAGAAACUAGGAAUAAAUGACCCUUUGGCAGACAUACUAUGCAAUCA
Molecule: long non-coding RNA, 189 nt
Organism: Hyla sarda
Lineage: Eukaryota; Metazoa; Chordata; Amphibia; Anura; Hylidae
Exons: 4
Source: RefSeq, a predicted model, not a curated record